Molecule: long non-coding RNA, 1594 nt
Filed under: Homo sapiens (human)
Lineage: Eukaryota; Metazoa; Chordata; Mammalia; Primates; Hominidae
Description: HSALNT0263791
Source: RNAcentral
AAAAAUGUUAUUUUAAUAUAUAGAGAUAGGAUCUUGCUAUGUUGGCCAGGCUAGUCUCAGAUUCCUGGCCUCAAGCAGUCCUCCUGCCUUGGCCUCCCAAAAUGCUGGGAUUACAGGCAUGAGUCAGUGUGCCCAACCAGUCAUUUCAAUAAAUGUGCUGGAUCAAUUGUAUAUUCAUGUGAAAAAUUACCUCACAUCAUAACAACAACAACAACAAAAAUCCAGAUGGAUUUUUAAAUCCAUCUAAAUGUGAAAGGUAAAGCAAUAAAGCUUUUGAAGAAAACAUAGGAGACCACCUUCAUGACCUCAGAGUAGGCAAAGAUUUCUUAAACACGACACAAAAAGGCUCACUAUAAAAGAAAAAAAUUGAUAAAUUAGACUAAAGGGCCACUGUAUUAGAUACCUUGAGUGAUUGCAAAACCUGGUUCUUGUCCUUAUGAAGUUCAUAAUAAAGCCGAUUGUUUUCUUUUUCUUUCUUUUUUUGUUAAGAGCAGAGUUUUAAAAGCUGGCUGUCCUCCCUGUUCUGCUCUCCCUAGGUGGUAGACUACCUACCCCUCAGGCAUCCUGCUGUUAAUUCGCUGAGUUCCCAGAGAGCAGGGCUCCCCAACAAAUAGCUGAUCUUUCUCCCUUGCCUGGCCUAGAUCGGCCUCUGUUUAGAGAGGUGGUUUGGUGGUUGAAGAAUGAGAACAGGGUGGGAGGGGGACAAACAGGCCUCUUCUGUGUCAUUGACAGCUGAUUUUUGUUUGUCAGCGUGCUAAGGUUGUGAAGUUGCCAAUCCGUGAUGAUUAAGAUUCUGUUGGGGUCCUUUGGAGAGGAGAGAGGUGGUGGCUUCUGAGAACAUAACCAGAAGGCUUUUAGGGAAAUGGAAAAGUCAUAGUACGGAGCUUCAGCCUAGUCAUUCACUGAGCUCAGAAGUGCUCCUCCUCACCCCUCCUCUCCCUUCCUUUUCCUUUCUUUACUAGCUGGGAUUGUUCUUUCAUUUAUUCAUAAAAAUAAGGUACAAAAACAAAUAAUGCCUUGCCGUUGUUAUUAAGAGAGACAUUUAAAAUGGAUCAUUGAAAUACUAUGUGGGAAGGCUUAUUCAUAGUUAAUUAUUAAUGACACUUAUCAAAGCUUGUCCUGGACCAAGUAUUGUGACUGUCUCUUUAUUUGCACCAUUUCAUUUCAUCGUCAUAGCAUCCUUAUGAGCUAAAUAUUAUUCUACGUAUUUAAUAGGUUAUGCUAUUGAGGCUUAUAAAGAUUUAGCAACUUGGUCAACUAUAUUGUUAAGGGUCUCAAGACAAUCCUCUUUACAGGUCCAAGCCCAUCAAUCAAAUGUCAUUUGGCAAUAACUCUUUCUUAUUUUGUUAUCAAUGUGUCACCCAAAUUAUUUGGAGCCUGAGGCCUUAAUUAAAAAUCUGGCUGGUGUGAUUAUAAUGUGGCUGAGUGCUGAUGCCAAAUUUAAAGUCAGAGUGUGAUUUUUUUAAGCUAUGUAUUUCAGAAGGAUUGAUGGUGGCUACUUGCCUUGUGCUCCAGAGCAGCACCCCCUUGAUGGCAAGCCACUCCAAGAAUGUUUAGGGCCGUAGCUGGCUGGUCCCCAAUAGAGAAAACCCAA